Molecule: non-coding RNA, 819 nt
Organism: Cinara cedri
Lineage: Eukaryota; Metazoa; Arthropoda; Insecta; Hemiptera; Aphididae
Source: the annotation of a GenBank genome assembly
CGUGCACGUGUAUUUAUUAUAACAUUCAUAACGCAUAAUACGGUCACUAGUCCUCCGGUACAGUGCAGUCGGUUGCAUUUUUUUUUUCUCUUACAAUAAUCCCACGUGCGCGUAACCGUUCGGUUAUACUCGACUAAUUAUUAAACAUAACCCGCAAAACCCGACCCUAAACGGGAAUCGGGGAGAAACCGCCGGAACAUAAUAAUGCGUACAUAACGAGUUCGUCCAGUCCGUUCGUCGUUAUUAUUAUACGCGUGUUCGUAAUUAUACGUACACCACACCCUGCGAAACACAUUUUACGAUAUUUCUUCACGACAGAUUAUUUCGCGUACGUACGCGGACAACCUAUCCCUCGGCGCGGAACGGCUGGACGCGUUACAAUUAUUCGAAACGGAUAUUAUUGCGAUCGAUUUACUGAAGUCUUAUAGUAUUGUUGCGCGGAGCGUAUACGGGUGGGUAGCCUGAUCGCCAUCAAAGAGGACGGUGAUAUUGGAAUUAUUAUUGUUGUUGUUGUUAUUGUACGAGGCGUUCGGCGAUAUCUACACCGACCGCACAUUAUUAUUGUUUAUGCCGGCGACAAAACGAAACAAGUCUGUUUCGCACUAUAGGUCUCCCCGAGUUCUUGCGCGCGCGACACAAUCGCUCCGGUAAACAUAAUAGCGCGUAUAAUACAACAUUGUUAUGCGUCCGCUGUUAACAAAUCGUUAGUCGCUAUCAUACGGUUUUAUAUAUGUGUUAUUAUAAAAACGAUAUCGUACCGUGAUAAACACUUCGGUCGAACCGAAUCGCGUCCCGGCACGUAACGCGAGACGAACACGU